This 253-nucleotide ribosomal RNA is filed under the name uncultured bacterium. RNAcentral's name for it is "partial 16S ribosomal RNA". It matches the Rfam family "Bacterial small subunit ribosomal RNA", at positions 524 to 776 of the family's 1533-position model. The record is from RNAcentral.
UACCGAGGGUGCGAGCGUUGUCCGGAAUCACUGGGCGUAAAGGGCGCGUAGGUGGCGACCCAAGUCGAUGGUGAAAGCUCGCCGCUCAACGGCGAGUCGGCCACUGAUACUGGGUUGCUCGAGCACUGUAGAGGCUAAUGGAAUUCCGGGUGUAGCGGUGGAAUGCGUAGAGAUCCGGAAGAACACCGGUGGCGAAGGCGGUUAGCUGGGCAGUUGCUGACACUGAGGCGCGACAGCGUGGGGAGCAAACAGG